GACGAACGCUGGCGGCGUGCUUAACACAUGCAAGUCGAACGGUGAAGCUCCAGCUUGCUGGAGUGGAUCAGUGGCGAACGGGUGAGUAACACGUGAGCAACCUGCCCCUGACUCUGGAAUAAGCGCUGGAAACGGCGUCUAAUACUGGAUACGAGAAGGGUCCGCAUGGGCACUUUCUGGAAAGUUUUUCGGUUGGGGAUGGGCUCGCGGCCUAUCAGCUUGUUGGUGAGGUAAUGGCUCACCAAGGCGACGACGGGUAGCCGGCCUGAGAGGGCGACCGGCCACACUGGGACUGAGACACGGCCCAGACUCCUACGGGAGGCAGCAGUGGGGAAUAUUGCACAAUGGGCGAAAGCCUGAUGCAGCGACGCCGCGUGAGGGAUGACGGCCUUCGGGUUGUAAACCUCUUUCAGCAGGGAAGAAGCGAAAGUGACGGUACCUGCAGAAGAAGCACCGGCUAACUACGUG
This 468-nucleotide ribosomal RNA is filed under the name uncultured bacterium. RNAcentral describes it as "partial 16S ribosomal RNA". It matches the Rfam family "Bacterial small subunit ribosomal RNA", at positions 28 to 507 of the family's 1533-position model. The record is from RNAcentral.